UACGGGAGGCAGCAGUGGGGAAUAUUGCACAAUGGGCGCAAGCCUGAUGCAGCCAUGCCGCGUGUAUGAAGAAGGCCUUCGGGUUGUAAAGUACUUUCAGUCGUGAGGAAGGUGUUAAGGUUAAUAACCUUAGCAAUUGACGUUAGCGACAGAAGAAGCACCGGCUAACUCCGUGCCAGCAGCCGCGGUAAUACGGAGGGUGCGAGCGUUAAUCGGAAUUACUGGGCGUAAAGGGCACGCAGGCGGUUAAUUAAGUUGGAUGUGAAAUCCCCGGGCUUAACCUGGGAAUGGCAUUCAAGACUGGUUAGCUAGAGUCUUGUAGAGGGGGUAGAAUUCCAUGUGUAGCGGUGAAAUGCGUAGAGAUGUGGAGGAAUACCGGUGGCGAAAGGCGGCCCCUGGGACAAAGACUGACGCUCAUGUGCGAAAAGCGUGGGGAGCAAACAGGAUUAGAUACC
RNAcentral lists this ribosomal RNA (455 nucleotides) under uncultured bacterium. RNAcentral describes it as "bacterial SSU rRNA". It matches the Rfam family "Bacterial small subunit ribosomal RNA", at positions 340 to 786 of the family's 1533-position model. The record is from RNAcentral.